GCCAGUGUGAUGUAGUGGUUUGAGUGUUGGACUAUGACUCUGGAGACCAGGGUUCGAAUCCCGGCUCAGCCA
Molecule: non-coding RNA, 72 nt
Organism: Phrynosoma platyrhinos (Desert horned lizard)
Lineage: Eukaryota; Metazoa; Chordata; Lepidosauria; Squamata; Phrynosomatidae
Source: the annotation of a GenBank genome assembly